RNAcentral lists this ribosomal RNA (440 nucleotides) under uncultured bacterium. RNAcentral describes it as "partial 16S ribosomal RNA". It matches the Rfam family "Bacterial small subunit ribosomal RNA", at positions 339 to 795 of the family's 1533-position model. The record is from RNAcentral.
CUACGGGGUGCACCAGCAGGGAAUAUUGCACAAUGGACGGAAGUCUGAUGCAGCGACGCCGCGUGGAUGAUGAAGGCUUUCGGGUUGUAAAAUCCUUUUCAGGGAGAAGAGGAAGGACGGUAUCCCUGGAAUAAGCGUCGGCUAACUACGUGCCAGCAGCCGCGGUAAUACGUAGGACGCAAGCGUUAUCCGGAUUUACUGGGCGUAAAGCGUCUGUAGGCGGUUUAGUAAGUUUGAUGUGAAAGCUCCAGGCUCAACUUGGAGAGUGCAUUGAAUACUGCUAGACUUGAGGGGAUCAGAGGAAAGCGGAAUUUCCGGUGUAGCGGUAAAAUGCGCAGAUAUCGGAAAGAACACCAGUGGCGAAGGCGGCUUUCUGGGAUCAACCUGACGCUGAGAGACGAAAGCUAGGGUAGCGAACAGGAUUAGAUACCCGGGUAGUC